CGAUUUAUUUAUUUGUUUGUCUACUGCUUACGUGUGUUGGAACCGCUCUCUCUCUGUGGUCUACACAUAAGUUAAUUCUUGGAACAAAAGCAAAAGGCACCUCGGAGCUCUGUAUCCAGCAUCUAUGUGCAAGUCAAGUGGGAGAGCCUCGUUAUCCAAUCCAAUCAUCACCCGGGUUAUAAAGAAAACAAAAAAAAGUGGUGAGACCUUGAAUCACACAACAUACAAAGAGUCGGCAACAGAAGAAGAAGAAUAAGCAAAAACACAAGAAAACGAAAGCACAAUAUAUGAAUAUGACUGAAACGCAUUAAGAUGAUGCAUUCAGAGAUUGACUCGUCCUUUGAUGAUGUCCAGGCUCAUCUCGCUAGGGUCUGUUGCUUGCAGUUCAACCUGAAUCCCAUCCAGUUCCCUCUUGAAUCUGUCCUUUGAGCUUGCGUACAACAUCUUACUCCUCACUCUUGAUGUAUCUGGUGACCUGAAGCAUGAAGAUAUCUCAGAUUGGAUAUAAGAAAAAGUCCACUUUAUAAUCCAUGA
This is a long non-coding RNA of Brassica rapa (field mustard), 534 nucleotides long. RefSeq lists it as uncharacterized. NCBI's taxonomy places the organism in Eukaryota, Viridiplantae, Streptophyta, Magnoliopsida, Brassicales, Brassicaceae. The record is from RefSeq and is a predicted model, not a curated record.